AGGGUUUGAUUAUGGCUCAGGAUGAACGCUAGCUACAGGCUUAACACAUGCAAGUCGAGGGGCAGCAUCAUCAAAGCUUGCUUUGAUGGAUGGCAACCGGCGCACGGGUGAGUAACACGUAUCCAACCUGCCGACAACACUGGGAUAGCCUUUCGAAAGAAAGGUUAAUACCUGAUGGUAUGAUGAGAUUGCAUGAUAGCAUCAUUAAAGAUUUAUCGGUGUACGAUGGGGAUGCGUUCCAUUAGGUAGUAGGCGGGGUAACGGCCCACCUAGCCAACGAUGGAUAGGGGUUCUGAGAGGAAGGUCCCCCACAUUGGAACUGAGACACGGUCCAA
This 335-nucleotide ribosomal RNA is filed under the name uncultured bacterium. Its description in RNAcentral is "bacterial SSU rRNA". It matches the Rfam family "Bacterial small subunit ribosomal RNA", at positions 8 to 334 of the family's 1533-position model. The record is from RNAcentral.